GCCGAAGUGGCGGAAUUGGUAGACGCACCAGUUUCAGGGACUGGCGAGUGUAUACUUGUGGGAGUUCGAAUCUCCCCUUCGGCACCA
This 87-nucleotide transfer RNA is filed under the name Desulfoconvexum algidum. Its description in RNAcentral is "tRNA-Leu". It matches the Rfam family "tRNA". Rfam says of the family: Transfer RNA (tRNA) molecules are approximately 80 nucleotides in length. Their secondary structure includes four short double-helical elements and three loops (D, anti-codon, and T loops). Further hydrogen bonds mediate the characteristic L-shaped molecular structure. tRNAs have two regions of fundamental functional importance: the anti-codon, which is responsible for specific mRNA codon recognition, and the 3' end, to which the tRNAs corresponding amino acid is attached (by aminoacyl-tRNA synthetases). tRNAs cope with the degeneracy of the genetic code in two manners: having more than one tRNA (with a specific anti-codon) for a particular amino acid; and 'wobble' base-pairing, i.e. permitting non-standard base-pairing at the 3rd anti-codon position. RNAcentral also lists the same sequence under 1 other name. The record is from RNAcentral. Lineage: Bacteria; Pseudomonadati; Thermodesulfobacteriota; Desulfobacteria; Desulfobacterales; Desulfobacteraceae.